GACGAACGCUGGCGGCGUGCUUAACACAUGCAAGUCGAACGGAAAGGCCCUGCUUGCAGGGUGCUCGAGUGGCGAACGGGUGAGUAACACGUUGGUGAUCUGCCCCUUACUUUGGGAUAAGCCUGGGAAACUGGGUCUAAUACUGGAUAGGACCAUGCUGUAGGUGGUGUGGUGGAAAGAUUAGUUUCGGUAAGGGAUGAGCUCGCGGCCUAUCAGCUUGUUGGUGGGGUAAUGGCCUACCAAGGCGUCGACGGGUAGCCGGCCUGAGAGGGUGGACGGCCACAUUGGGACUGAGAUACGGCCCAGACUCCUACGGGAGGCAGCAGUGGGGAAUAUUGCACAAUGGGCGCAAGCCUGAUGCAGCGACGCCGCGUGGGGGAUGACGGCCUUCGGGUUGUAAACUCCUUUCAGCCAUGACGAAGCCCUUGUGGUGACGGUAGUGGUAGAAGAAGCACCGGCUAACUACGUG
Molecule: ribosomal RNA, 469 nt
Filed under: uncultured bacterium
Lineage: Bacteria
Description: partial 16S ribosomal RNA
Rfam family: Bacterial small subunit ribosomal RNA
Source: RNAcentral